This 408-nucleotide ribosomal RNA is filed under the name uncultured bacterium. RNAcentral describes it as "partial 16S ribosomal RNA". It matches the Rfam family "Bacterial small subunit ribosomal RNA", at positions 28 to 526 of the family's 1533-position model. The record is from RNAcentral.
GACGAACGCUGGCGGCGUGCUUAACACAUGCAAGUCGAACGAAGUGGCGAACGGGUGAGUAACGCGUAAUCAACCUGCCCUUCAGGGGGGGACAACAGUUGGAAACGAAUGCUAAUACCGCAUACUGAAGGGGGGGAAUGGUGCUUAGUAGCUAGUGGGCGGGGUAACGGCCCACCAAGGCGAUGAUCAGUAGCCUGGCUGAGAGGAUGAACGGCCAAAGUGGGACUGAGACACGGCCCAGACUCCUACGGGAGGCAGCAGUGGGGAAUCUUCCUAAAUGGACGAAAUGCUGACGGAGUAAAGCCGCGGGAGGGAUGACGGCCUUCGGGUUGUAAAGCUCUGUUAAUCGGGACGCGGUACCGGAAUAGAAAGCCACGGCUAACUACGUGCCAGCAGCCGCGGUAAUAC